AAGAAGAAGGAUUCUUUUAAAAAUAAAUAAAGAAGCCAUUCUAAAGUAAAAAUAACAAACUCAACUAAGUUGUUUUGACUUCUGAUUUGAACAUGGCUAAUGAUCCUCAAUUGAGUCAUUAUUGAACUUUAGGAAUUAGCAUGCAUGUGUUUUCCUGUGUCAAAGAGAGAGGGAGAGAGAGCAUUUUAUGCAUAUUGCAUUUUCUGUCAAGUAUCAUGUUGUGCCCUAAUAUUUAGGGGUGAGCAUUCGGUUAAUUCAGUUCAAAAACGAACCGAACCCAAACAAAGGAAUCGAAUUAAACUAAACCGAAAUAAUUCGAUUCAGUUCAGUUUGGUAGUUCGGCCUUCCUUUAUCUAUGCUACAAAUUCCUAGGGAUGGCAACAAGUAGGCUACCUACGAAAAUCACAUUAUCCAAACCUGAACCCGAUUAAUAUUCUCAAAAUCCGGACCCACCCCAAAACCGAUUAAAAUUUAUUCUCAAUUACUUGAACCCGUCUGAAAACUGAUUAUUAGUAACCGAAAAAUAUCAGAACUCAUUUUAAUUUUAUAUAUUUUAUUUUAAUUAAUA
This 568-nucleotide unclassified non-coding RNA is filed under the name Hevea brasiliensis (rubber tree). The record is from RNAcentral. Lineage: Eukaryota; Viridiplantae; Streptophyta; Magnoliopsida; Malpighiales; Euphorbiaceae.